This 517-nucleotide ribosomal RNA is filed under the name uncultured bacterium. Its description in RNAcentral is "partial 16S ribosomal RNA". It matches the Rfam family "Bacterial small subunit ribosomal RNA", at positions 29 to 523 of the family's 1533-position model. The record is from RNAcentral.
AACGAACGCUGGCGGCGUGGAUAAGACAUGCAAGUCGGACGGGAUUUUCCGUUGUAGCAACACGAUGGAAAGUCUAGUGGCGAACGGGUGCUUAACACGUGGGCAACCUGCCAGGAAGUGGGGGAUAGCUCGCCGAAAGGCGAAUUAAUACCGCAUGUGAUUAGAGAGGACAUCCUUUCAAAAUUAAAGUCGGGGCAACCUGACGCUUCUUGUGGGGCCCGCGGCCUAUCAGCUAGUUGGUGAGGUAACGGCUCACCAAGGCUUUGACGGGUAGCUGGUCUGAGAGGACGACCAGCCACACUGGGACUGAGACACGGCCCAGACACCUACGGGUGGCAGCAGUCGAGAAUUUUUGACAAUGGGGGAAACCCUGAUCGAGCGACGCCGCGUGGAGGAUGAAGGUCUUCGGAUUGUAAACUCCUGUCAUUGGGGAACAAGGCGCAGAUAUUAACUGUAUUUGUGCUGAUAGUACCCGAAGAGGAAGAGACGGCUAACUCUGUGCCAGCAGCCGCGGUAA